GUGCUCACUUCGGCAGCACAUAUACUAAAAUUGGAAUGAUACAGAGAAGAUUAGCAUAAGAUGACAAGCAAAUUCGUGAAGUGUUCCAUAUAUUU
This 95-nucleotide small nuclear RNA is filed under the name Mus caroli (Ryukyu mouse). The record is from RNAcentral. Lineage: Eukaryota; Metazoa; Chordata; Mammalia; Rodentia; Muridae.